RNAcentral lists this ribosomal RNA (421 nucleotides) under uncultured archaeon. RNAcentral describes it as "partial 16S ribosomal RNA". It matches the Rfam family "Archaeal small subunit ribosomal RNA", at positions 323 to 746 of the family's 1478-position model. The record is from RNAcentral.
CUACGGGGGGCAGCAGUUAGGAAUAAUCUACAAUGCGCGAAAGCGUGAUAGUUUGAGCCAGAGUGUUUUUCAAUUGAAAGACUUUUGUGAAAUGUAAAAAGUUUCACGAAUAAGGACUGGGUAAGACUAGUGCCAGCCGCCGCGGUAAUACUAGCGGUCCAAGUCGCAACCAUUUUUAUUGGGUCUAAAACAUCCGUAGCUUGCUUGACAAGUCUUCUGUGAAAUUUUACGUCUAAAACGUAGAGCGCGCAGAAGGUACUAUCAAGCUAGAGACCGGAAGACGUAAGAAGUACAUUCAGAGUAGCGGUUAAAUGUGUUAAUCCUGGAUGGACUAACAAGAGCGAAGGCAUCUUACGAGGACGGUUCUGACAGUAAGGGAUGAAAGCUAGGGGCGCAAAUGGGAUUAGAUACCCUAGUAGUC